Molecule: small RNA, 29 nt
Filed under: Bombyx mori (domestic silkworm)
Lineage: Eukaryota; Metazoa; Arthropoda; Insecta; Lepidoptera; Bombycidae
Description: ovarian small RNA-4881
Source: RNAcentral
CGCACGGUGUUUCGUUCCAAGCGUGCAGA